This 250-nucleotide ribosomal RNA is filed under the name uncultured bacterium. Its description in RNAcentral is "partial 16S ribosomal RNA". It matches the Rfam family "Bacterial small subunit ribosomal RNA", at positions 524 to 776 of the family's 1533-position model. The record is from RNAcentral.
UACGAAGGGGGCUAGCGUUGCUCGGAAUUACUGGGCGUAAAGGGCGCGUAGGCGGCCUGCUAAGUCGAACGUGAAAUCCCUGGGCUCAACCCAGGAACUGCGUCCGAUACUGGUUGGCUUGAAUCCGGGAGAGGGACGUGGAAUUCCAGGUGUAGCGGUGAAAUGCGUAGAUAUCUGGAGGAACACCGGUGGCGAAGGCGACGCCUGGACCGGCAUGACGCUGAGGCGCGAAAGCCAGGGGAGUAACGGG